CGCCACCCGUCUGGGGCCCGAAAGGAGGGAGCUUUCCCUCUGUCCCCCAGCCUUUGGACUGUCACCAAACAAGCCAUUCGUUCACCAAAUACUUUUUAAGCGCCUACCAUGUGCCUGACAAGGGAUAUGUAACGGUGAGAAAAACUAGGUGUGGUCCAGGCCCUUCAGGGACUCAGGGGCUCGUGGAAGAAGUGGAUAUUGAAGUACUUAUCACACAAAGGAGGAUAAAAGUACGAUAGCGAUAUCUACCACGAAGCUGUUGUUCCACACCAGAACCAAAUGAGCGCAAGAUCUGACAAAAAAAAAAGGUUCAUCUUUUAUUCUUCCAAACACUUUCAUUUAAAUCAAGAGGAUGGGAUGUGGUUAUUACUGUGUUUUUAGACAAAAUCAAUGGUUUCUGGCUCUGAGAUGUUGCAUACACCCUCUCAGUCCCUGUAUCCUGAGAUGGAGUCACCUGAGAAUCCACAGCAAGUCCUAACCAGGGAUGGGUCUGGGUGAUUAAGGAAGAUUGGCUUCAGAACUGGGCCAGGGGCACUGCUUUGCUUUUGCUGUUUUGAUCAGCUCUCUGCCUGCAGGAGACGAGGAAAACCAAUGGGAACAGGCGCAGGAAUGGGAGGCAGCAGCUGUGGAAGCCAGGGUCUCUGGCAGUCCUUGUCUCUGGGCGGUGAUCCAGAAAGAGAGAGAACACGAUUGUCUCAGCACUGGGUCUUCUUCUGAGUCAUCUUGAAGGAGCAAUUCCAGAGCGUCUCGGUGUUAAACAUCAUGUUGUGAAUGACUCAGUGAUCUCUGACCCAGAGACCUUGGGGAUAAAGGAGGGGAGGUACGGAGAAGCUCUUCGAAUGGAUGUUACCGGCGUGUCAGUGUUCUUUGAGGCCACAGGCUAUGUGUCACCAAAUUGAAGGGGUGGCCUGCCCCUCCACACCUGUGGGUAUUUCUAGUCGGGUGGGAUGAGAGACAGAGAAAAGAAA
Molecule: long non-coding RNA, 968 nt
Filed under: Homo sapiens (human)
Lineage: Eukaryota; Metazoa; Chordata; Mammalia; Primates; Hominidae
Description: HSALNT0318167
Source: RNAcentral